GAUGAACGCUGGCGGCGUGCCUAAUACAUGCAAGUCGAGCGAACAGACGAGGAGCUUGCUCCUCUGACGUUAGCGGCGGACGGGUGAGUAACACGUGGAUAACCUACCUCUAAGACUGGGAUAACUUCGGGAAACCGGAGCUAAUACCGGAUAAUAUAUUGAACCGCAUGGUUCAAUAGUGAAAGACGGUUUUGCUGUCACUUAUAGAUGGAUCCGCGCUGCAUUAGCUAGUUGGUAAGGUAACGGCUUACCAAGGCAACGAUGCGUAGCCGACCUGAGGGGGUGAUCGGCCACACUGGAACUGAGACACGGUCCAGACUCCUACGGGAGGCAGCAGUAGGGAAUCUUCCGCAAUGGGCGCAAGCCUGACGGAGCAACGCCGCGUGAGUGAUGAAGGUCUUCGGAUCGUAAAACUCUGUUAUUAGGGAAGAACAAAUGUGUAAGUAACUAUGCACGUCUUGACGGUACCUAAUCAGAAAGCCACGGCUAACUACGUG
RNAcentral lists this ribosomal RNA (497 nucleotides) under uncultured bacterium. Its description in RNAcentral is "partial 16S ribosomal RNA". It matches the Rfam family "Bacterial small subunit ribosomal RNA", at positions 28 to 507 of the family's 1533-position model. The record is from RNAcentral.